RNAcentral lists this ribosomal RNA (507 nucleotides) under uncultured bacterium. RNAcentral's name for it is "bacterial SSU rRNA". It matches the Rfam family "Bacterial small subunit ribosomal RNA", at positions 1024 to 1529 of the family's 1533-position model. The record is from RNAcentral.
GGCAGAGGAGACAGGUGGUGCAUGGUUGUCGUCAGCUCGUGUCGUGAGAUGUUGGGUUAAGUCCCGCAACGAGCGCAACCCCUAUCCUUAGUAGCCAGCACAUCAUGGUGGGCACUCUAGGGAGACUGCCGGGGAUAACCCGGAGGAAGGCGGGGACGACGUCAAAUCAUCAUGCCCCUUAUGAUUUGGGCUACACACGUGCUACAAUGGCGUAAACAAAGGGAAGCGAGACAGCGAUGUUUAGCAAAUCCCAAAAAUAACGUCCCAGUUCGGACUGCAGUCUGCAACUCAACUGCACGAAGCUGGAAUCGCUAGUAAUCGCGAAUCAGAAUGUCGCGGUGAAUACGUUCCCGGGUCUUGUACACACCGCCCGUCACACCAUGGGAGUCAGUAACGCCCGAAGUCAGUGACCCAACCUUAACGGAGGGAGCUGCCGAAGGCGGGACCGAUGACUGGGGUGAAGUCGUAACAAGGUAGCCGUAUCGGAAGGUGCGGUUGGAUCACCUC